UCUGACGCAAGAUCGAGUCCUGCUCGUUGGAAUACAAGCACAGGCAAGCUGGUGAAAUAUAUUAAUAAAUAUUUUGCUUGGUUUUUGGAAUGGCUGCUGAAGAUACUGCUUCCAAAGUUGCCAAUAUGAACAUCAAAGGUGAGUUUCUUUCUCAUUCAGCUAAUUUUAAGUAUUAAAAUGCUGAAAUAACCGUUCGUGUUACAUGUAGAAUACAAUUUCCGCUAUUCUCCCAAAUGUUCAAUACGUGUAUUUAGUACUUAUAUAAUUUGAGUAAUUCUGUGGUAUUAAUGGUUUGUGUCACACAUUUAGUAGCAGUUACGCUAAUUUACAAUGCGUUUACAAUAAAAUUAUAAGGAUAUAUGAAAUUAGGCACAGAUCCAUCUUACUUCGCCUUGAGUGUUUCAUUUUAAUUGGCAAAAUGAAUUCCACACCCGACAAUUCCUCGAAUUCGAGAUCAAUAAAGUAAGAUCUGAAGCGUGAUCAGUGUUUGCAGGAAUGCAUGGUCUUUGGUUGGCCUUCGUUUGAAAGAGGUUUACACGGAAAUUUUCUUCCCAGAGAACUUAUAUUAUUUAUGAUACGAAGACGAAGUGACUAGUAAACGGCCACGUCCAUAUUCAUAUUGCAACAAAUAUAACGUCGAAUCGACGUUAUUACUUCACGGGCCCACGCCAGAUAUAACCUCGAUCGAUAUUCAGUCGUAUUUAUCGUAUUUUGACCGCUAAACUCACAAUUAUUGUACUUUAAUAUGGGUUUUCCGCUCGUAUAUGUUUUCGUAUAUAAACUGGGAUUGUAUUUUGAUAUAAUAUUUAAACAAUGUACGAUAUUCGGUAAGUGCUUAAAAUAUGUUUUAAAAUAUUUUUCAUUUGUAUUUCUAUAUUCAAUUAUAUUUUUAUAUGUUAGUAUUCUAAUACAAAAGCUGUAGUCCUGUACUGUGAUAGUUACUUUGGACAUUAAUUGUCAAAUUGCCACGUGUAGUGGGGCGGUAAGUCCGUAAGUGAAAGUAUUGUGGAUUUUGUGAAGAAAGCACCAUAUUGGCGUAUUGGCAUGAGGAUGUGUAUAGAAUUUGACGCAAGUAUGAUUUUCAGAUAUGGAGGCAUCUGUGAAAUUAGCGCUUAAAUAGCCAAAAAUUUGGAAUUUCUGACAUUUUAUUAUAAAUUUUCAUUACGGCUCAAAAUUCAAAAGUACAUCACAAAAAAUUAGUUCUGUGGCUGCGAAGUAGCCGACAAAAAUUGUCUGUAGAACAUUAAAGCAGUUUUUUAUUGCGGUUGCGAGUUUGUUAGUUUGUUACUGUCACUACUGUUAGUUUGUUCUGAUCAAUACGUUUCCUUAAUAUCCUAGUAAAAAUCCCUUGCACGUGCUCUGAAUUUAUUCAUUUUUAUGCGCCAAACAAGGACAAAAAUACCACUGUUCGAAUAAGCGUAAAACGUUGUAUUUAUGGAUGGCAAAUUGAUUUCAAAAUUGAUUUCUGUUUCAACGAUUCAUGCAUUUCAUGGCUUUUGAAAGACAAGCCGCUCAAAAUAAUCCUUUGGCAUAUUUUCCGAAUUCCUUUUUUUCGAGGAAAGUUUUCUUGUCAAGUGAUCUAUGGGCUCAGACCGGGAGAACCCGGGGGGGCCCAACCCCAAUGGGCCAAAUGGGAGCCCCAGGCUCUGGCUGUAGAGCAAAUACAUUGGCCAGGGCCUCUGAUAUGUUACAAUGUCGUUUUCUGACCAUUAGAAUUCUGUAAAAUCUCUCCCCAAAGUCCGGGAAAUGGCAUUUCAGAGUGUCUAGAUUCAAACAUUUUCCGGAAAACUCGUGCAUAUACGGCGCUCAACUCGUGCGUUCGGCAUUUCUACUAUCUGGGGGAGGGCCUUCGAAAAUUUUGAACCGGGGGCCUCCUGAUAUAACGUUACGCCACUGUCCCUUAUAUAUACUCAUAUACUAUAAUAAUAUUGGUCCCAUUUUACAAUCCAUUAUUUGUUGAGUUUUAUAUAAAAAAAUAUAUUGUUGUGCAGAAGGUUGAGCAGUGAGAAAGCUCGAGAGAACUUGAACAAGCACUGAUCAACCAACAGAACUGGGUUGGAGAUUUUUAAGAAUCUAUGUAUUCAAAUGAUUGAGUGAAAAACGAGAUAUGGCUAUAUAAAAAUAAAUCAUAAAGUAUAUUAUACUCAAUAUUUAUGAAUAUGGGACCUUAGUCUAGCCUGAAAAAUAAAUAACGUAGCAGCUUCGGUUAUAUAUUUAUCUAGUGAGUUCCAAAACAAUGAUCCACUGUGUUUAAGAGUUUGUUUUCUUGUUGUUGUUCUGACUUAAUUGGUUUAUAUGAACUCUGUUGGCAUUCCGCGUCUCGUAAGAGUGAAUGUUCUUGUUAAGGAUGAAGUAAUUCCUAAAAUAUUGCGGGAAAAUUGAGGACUUGUCAAAGCAUCUAUACAUAAAAGAACCAGUUUGAAAUUUAUUAAUGGCAUAAACAUCAAGUAACUUGAAUUUUGAAAAAAGUGGUUCAGUAGGAUCUCGAUAUCCAGCAUUAGCAAUAAUACCCACUACACGUUUUUGCAAUUUCAUGAUUUCAUCAAGAUUAGUAGGAUAUGUUUUAGCCCAAACUAUAUUACAGUAUUGAUUAUACGGUAACACCAAGGAGCAAUAUAAAGUUCUUCUGGUGGGGCUAGUAAUAAAAUGCUUUGCUUUGUUUAUGAUACCAAUAGAUUUUGCCAUCUUUAGGGCAACGUGUGAAAUAUGUGGUUUCCAGUCUAGAUGUUCGUUUAUAUAAGUUCCAAGAAAUUUAGUGGUAGCUAAACUUUUUAUUUUUAUUUUUUUUCAAUAAACACUUUUAGAUUGUUUCGACUUGGAAUAAGUUUAUUUCUUGCGCGAAAAAUGAUAUAAUUCGUUUUCUUUAAAUUAAGUAAAAGUUUAUUUGCUUUAAACCAGUCCGACAGUUUAUCAAGUUCACAAUUAACUUUACGGAUGAGUGUGGCAGGAUCUCUGUCGGAAUGAUAUAUACUAGUAUCAUCAGCAAACAGAAUAAAAUUGAGAAGAUUAGAGCAAUUGGCAAUAUCAUUAAUGUAAAGAAGAAAUAAAAGUGGUCCAAGGAUAGAACCUUGGGGAACACCACAUGUUACAGUAAUUUUUGAGGAGACCAUCUCACUAAAUUUCACAGUUUGUUUCCUAUCACUUAAGUAAUCUUUAAACCACAAGUGGAGUACCUCUGAUACCGUAAUGGUUUAAUUUACUUAUAAGAAUUUUGUGGUUCACAGUAUCAAACGCUUUUGAUAAAUCAACAAAUAUGCCUACAGUAUAUUCAUUGUUAUCAAUCGAAUGAGAGAGACUGUCGAUUAAUUCAAUUAAAGCCAUAUAAGUUGAGUAAUUCUUUCUGAAACCAUACUGAUUGCUGGAUAGGAUAUGCAUUUUAUCCAAACAUGUUAAUAAUCUGUUGUAAAUACUUCUUUCCAAUAUUUUUGAAAAUAUUGGAAGAAUGGAAAUUGGUCUAUAGUUACCGAAAGAUUUACGGUCAUCAGAUAUGUAAACAGGGGUUAUCAUAGCCUCUUUUAAUUUCUCAGGCACUCUGCCAGUAUUCAUGGAUUUAUUGAAAAUAUUUGACAAAAUAGGAGCUAAUGGUACAGCAAGUUGUUUAAUAAUAAAUGGGUCAAUCAAAUCGAUCCCACAGGAUUUAUUAGGGUUAAGUUCUGAGAUAAAUUUAGUUAUUUCAUCUUCAUUAGUACAAACGAGUGCAUGUAAGAUCCUUUAAGGUAGUGAGUAAAAUUAACAGAAGUAUUAGGAAUUACUUUUGCUAUAGACAAAUACUUUGCCAAUGUUGGCAAAGUAUUUGUUGAAAGUGUUGGAGAUUAUCUGAGGGUCAGCAGUCUCAGUAUCAUUGAAAUGGAAUGAUUCAGGGUAAAUAGUUUUAGAUUUUGGUUUUCGAAUAACGUCAUUAAGGAUUCCCAAGUAUGCUUCAGAUCAGAUUUAGCAGAUUCAAGUUUCAUUGCAAAGUAACGCUUUUUUUGCGAUUUUGAGAAGAUGAUUCAAUUUGUUCCUAUAUGAUUUAAAUUUUUGUUCAGUUGGUGAAUUCCUUUCUUUUAAGAACUUUUUGUACAAUUUGUUUUUAACUUUAAUUGAUUUAAUCAAUCCUUUUGAUAUCCAUGGUUUACGAGCCCGCGUUUUCCUUAUUUUUCUUUUUUUGAGUGGAAAAGAUUUGUCGUAAAGGUCAUUAAACUUAUUAAGAAAAAUAUUAUAGGCAAUAUUCGAAUCAGUGCAUGGAUUCAUAAACUGCUUGCCAAUUAACUUUAAACUUAUCAAUGUUUUUUUGUCUGUCAGCCUAGAAGUGGAAUAUUUGUUUGGGGAUAGAUGACUUCUUGCUUUUAGGUCUGAAAUAUGAAAUAUAGGUAAGUGGUCAGAAAUAUCAGUAUCAGUAAAGGUAUUGUUAGCUGAUCUGAAAGAUUCAGUAUUCCUGGUACACAUGCAUUUUAACAGAGAAUGACUGUAAUUUCAAAAAUUAAAUAUGCAUAUCAAAAACAAUAUCUAUUUUUACAAAAACGUUUGGAAACAUGAUCUAGUCGUCCAGCUUGAUGUCAUAUUCUAUUUAUUUGGAUAUUUCAAUAAAGGAAAGUGAAAUAAUAAUUGAAACUUGUCCAAAAUUUGAUACCAACACUCAAGUGAACAGAUACUCCUAGAUCACCUAAAAAUAAAAAAACAGAACUUAAAUUUAGCAUAUAAUGCUAUGAAAAAUAAUAUAUUAGAUAUUACAGACUAUGAUAAGAGGAUGGCAAUAUAUGACAACAUCAAAUGUUACCAUCUUCAGUGUCCAAAAAACGUGCCGCGUGCAUUUUUCGUGGUCCCAUAACUGGCAUUGCCACAAACCCAGGUGAAAAAGCAAUUAGAAAAACCUGGUUUUGGAUGAUGAGCAUAGUCAAAUUCUUGACUUAAUAUUCAAUUUUCUAAGUUUUUCCAGGUAAACAGAUUCAACGUUGAAAUAAGCCCCAUUCGGGACCUCAUAGAAUCCAAAAUAUUGUGUAUGGACCAGAUUUUUUUUCAAUUUUCUGUGAUUUACAUAACACUAGUUAUAAUUUAAGGGUCAACCAGUAUUUUUCACGACAUAUUUUCCUUCCUGAACACAUUUUCAAAAUACUAACCAAAACAUAUCAAAAAUAGUGUACAUUUACAAGGGCAAUUUCAACCCUUUGGCACAUUUUUCCCAUGAAUGAUUUUAAUUCUAAUAAAAAGGCUAUAGAUAAAACUCAUUUUGAUUUAAAGAUACGGUUUCAAGUGAUGAGCAUACCCUAAUUUUAAGCUAUAUGUCAAACAUUGAAAUGUGGAUAUACUCACAGCUCUGUCACACGCACGUGUAGUUUGACAUUAGCAGACCUUCUGAAACAUUUUAAUGCGGAAAGUAUAAUUCACAUUGUCACUUCUUAACAUCUGUCUUAAUCCAACUAUAGCUCUGUAGGCACGAGCAAAAUUUAGUGUUGAUGUGAAUAUCCAUUUAGUUCAUGUUGCCCCGGUGAAAAUAUAGUCUAUUCCAAAGCUGAUUU
RNAcentral lists this long non-coding RNA (5495 nucleotides) under Paramuricea clavata. The record is from RNAcentral. Lineage: Eukaryota; Metazoa; Cnidaria; Anthozoa; Malacalcyonacea; Plexauridae.